This 73-nucleotide transfer RNA is filed under the name Pangasianodon gigas (Mekong giant catfish). Its description in RNAcentral is "tRNA-Lys". Lineage: Eukaryota; Metazoa; Chordata; Actinopteri; Siluriformes; Pangasiidae. The record is from RNAcentral.
UCGCUGGAGGACUAGUGGUUAGGUCACGGCGCUCUUACUGUUGUGGCCCGGAUUCGAUUCCCGGCCCUUUGAA